This 374-nucleotide ribosomal RNA is filed under the name uncultured organism. Its description in RNAcentral is "bacterial SSU rRNA". It matches the Rfam family "Bacterial small subunit ribosomal RNA", at positions 526 to 896 of the family's 1533-position model. The record is from RNAcentral.
CGGGGGGAGCAAGCGUUGUUCGGAUUUACUGGGCGUAAAGGGCGCGUAGGCGGCCUCUGCAAGUCGACUGUGAAAUCUCCGGGCUUAACCCGGAACGGUCAGCCGAUACUGCAGGGCUAGAGUGCAGAAGGAGCAACUGGAAUUCUCGGUGUAGCGGUGAAAUGCGUAGAUAUCGAGAGGAACACCUGCGGCGAAGGCGGGUUGCUGGGCUGACACUGACGCUGAGGCGCGAAAGCUAGGGGAGCGAACGGGAUUAGAUACCCCGGUAGUCCUAGCCUUAAACGAUGAAUGCUUGGUGUCUGGGGUUUUAUAGUCCCCGGGUGCCGUCGCUAACGCUUUAAGCAUUCCGCCUGGGGAGUACGGUCGCAAGACUG